RNAcentral lists this ribosomal RNA (441 nucleotides) under uncultured bacterium. RNAcentral's name for it is "partial 16S ribosomal RNA". It matches the Rfam family "Bacterial small subunit ribosomal RNA", at positions 338 to 795 of the family's 1533-position model. The record is from RNAcentral.
CCUACGGGAGGCAGCAGUGGGGAAUAUUGCACAAUGGGGGAAACCCUGAUGCAGCGACGCCGCGUGAGCGAGGAAGUAUUUCGGUAUGUAAAGCUCUAUCAGCAGGGACGAAAAAAGACGGUACCUGACUAAGAAGCCCCGGCUAACUACGUGCCAGCAGCCGCGGUAAUACGUAGGGGGCAAGCGUUAUCCGGAUUUACUGGGUGGAAAGGGAGCGUAGACGGCAAGGAAAGCCAGAAGUGAAAGGGCAGGGCUCAACCCUGUAAAAGCUUUUGAAACUGUAGUGCUAGAGUGCAGGAGAGGUAAGUGGAAUUCCUGGUGUAGCGGUGAAAUGCGUAGAUAUUAGGAGGAACACCAGUGGCGAAGGCGGCUUACUGGACUGUAACUGACGUUGAGGCUCGAAAGCGUGGGGAGCGAACAGGAUUAGAUACCCGAGUAGUC